This 217-nucleotide ribosomal RNA is filed under the name uncultured bacterium. RNAcentral describes it as "partial 16S ribosomal RNA". It matches the Rfam family "Bacterial small subunit ribosomal RNA", at positions 1283 to 1500 of the family's 1533-position model. The record is from RNAcentral.
CCAUCUCAGUUCGGAUUGCAGGCUGCAACUCGCCUGCAUGAAGCUGGAAUUGCUAGUAAUCGCGGAUCAGCAAGCCGCGGUGAAUACGUUCCCGGGCCUUGUACACACCGCCCGUCACACCAUGAGAGUCGGGAACACCCGAAGUCCGUAGUCUAACCGCAAGGGGGCGCGGCCGAAGGUGGGUCCGGUAAUUGGGGUGAAGUCGUAACAAGGUAGC